RNAcentral lists this long non-coding RNA (740 nucleotides) under Helianthus annuus (common sunflower). Lineage: Eukaryota; Viridiplantae; Streptophyta; Magnoliopsida; Asterales; Asteraceae. The record is from RNAcentral.
UCUUUAUUCUCUCUUAUCCUCUAGAGAAAACAACCUCCAUCACCACCAUACAUGACCACCACCGUUAUAAACCACAUCCACGAGACCACUACUGCAACUACCACGACUAGCCAAACACAAUCGCCGCCAUCACCAACCACCACACCACCUCAUCACCAUAAACAACCACCGCCACGAGAUCACCAUUGCAACCACCACCACUAACCAUCACAACAGCCACCAUCACCAACUACCACGAAAGCAGAUCUGACGCUUUCGGAGCGAAAUCUGUUGUUGUUUCUGAAGAUUCAAGCGCAAAGGAAGAUUCAAUAGGGAUUUAUCUAUGCUUGUGCUUCUUCUUUGUGUGUUCUUCUGGCACGACGUCGUUUUCCAGCAUUGGAGCGUCGGUUUCUGUAUCGAUUGUGCCCCUUUUGUGCUUCUUGCCCAUUGAUUUAGGCAGAAAACUGAUCGAAGAAGAUGGACGGCAUGUAAAAUUCCAAAUGAAGUAUAAUUGCAGUGGUUAUCAAACAGCUGAUGGAUGUUAAGUGCUGCUCAAUUACAACAACUGAUAAACCAAACACUGAUGAUUAUCUAAAAACUGCUGAAGACAAACUCUGUUGCUCUAUCUACUGCUGUGUCCUAAGUACUGCUGAAGACUCAAGCACUGCCCUCUCAAAGACUGAUCACCUUUGAAGAAAGCACUGAAGAUUCAACAUCUGUGCUAAGGCUACAACAGUGGAACGUGAAGCAGUAGUUUCCUU